RNAcentral lists this ribosomal RNA (615 nucleotides) under uncultured bacterium. RNAcentral's name for it is "bacterial SSU rRNA". It matches the Rfam family "Bacterial small subunit ribosomal RNA", at positions 338 to 951 of the family's 1533-position model. The record is from RNAcentral.
CCUACGGGAGGCAGCAGUGGGGAAUUUUGGACAAUGGGCGAAAGCCUGAUCCAGCAAUGCCGCGUGAGUGAAGAAGGCCUUCGGGUUGUAAAGCUCUUUUGUCAGGGAAGAAACGGUGAGAGCUAAUAUCUUUUGCUAAUGACGGUACCUGAAGAAUAAGCACCGGCUAACUACGUGCCAGCAGCCGCGGUAAUACGUAGGGUGCAAGCGUUAAUCGGAAUUACUGGGCGUAAAGCGUGCGCAGGCGGUUUUGUAAGUCUGAUGUGAAAUCCCCGGGCUCAACCUGGGAAUUGCAUUGGAGACUGCAAGGCUAGAAUCUGGCAGAGGGGGGUAGAAUUCCACGUGUAGCAGUGAAAUGCGUAGAUAUGUGGAGGAACACCGAUGGCGAAGGCAGCCCCCUGGGUCAAGAUUGACGCUCAUGCACGAAAGCGUGGGGAGCAAACGGGGAUUAGAUACCCUGGUAGUCCACGCCCUAAACGAUGUCUACUAGUUGUCGGGUCUUAAUUGACUUGGUAACGCAGCUAACGCGUGAAGUGACCGCCUGGGGAGUCGGUCGCAAGAUUAAACUCAAAGGAUUGACGGNNGAGAGNGCGACGACGACGACGAGGGAGGAGG